RNAcentral lists this non-coding RNA (30 nucleotides) under Mus musculus (house mouse). Lineage: Eukaryota; Metazoa; Chordata; Mammalia; Rodentia; Muridae. The record is from RNAcentral.
UAACAUAUGGCUUUCUUGGAUAAUUUUUAU